AGGAUGAACGCUGGCGGACGUGCCUAAUACAUGCAAGUCGAACGCACAAGCGAAAGGUGCUUGCACCUUUCAAGUGAGUGGCGAACGGGUGAGUAACACGUGGACAACCUGCCUCAAGGCUGGGGAUAACAUUUGGAAACAGAUGCUAAUACCGAAUAAAACUUAGUGUCGCAUGACACAAAGUUAAAAGGCGCUUCGGCGUCACCUAGAGAUGGAUCCGCGGUGCAUUAGUUAGUUGGUGGGGUAAAGGCCUACCAAGACAAUGAUGCAUAGCCGAGUUGAGAGACUGAUCGGCCACAUUGGGACUGAGACACGGCCCAAACUCCUACGGGAGGCUGCAGUAGGGAAUCUUCCACAAUGGGCGAAAGCCUGAUGGAGCAACGCCGCGUGUGUGAUGAAGGCUUUCGGGUCGUAAAGCACUGUUGUAUGGGAAGAACAGCUAGAAUAGGAAAUGAUUUUAGUUUGACGGUACCAUACCAGAAAGGGACGGCUAAAUACGUG
RNAcentral lists this ribosomal RNA (501 nucleotides) under uncultured bacterium. RNAcentral's name for it is "bacterial SSU rRNA". It matches the Rfam family "Bacterial small subunit ribosomal RNA", at positions 26 to 507 of the family's 1533-position model. The record is from RNAcentral.